GACGUAGGGGGCCAGCGUUGCUCGGAAUUACUGGGCGUAAAGGGUUCGUAGGCGGUGCGGUAAGUCGGAAGUGAAAUCUCUGGGCUUAACUCAGAGGCUGCUUUCGAAACUGCCGUGCUGGAGUGCGGGAGAGGCGAGUGGAAUUGCAGGUGUAGCGGUGAAAUGCGUAGAUAUCGAGAGGAACACCUGCGGCGAAGGCGGGUUGCUGGGCUGACACUGACGCUGAUGCGCGAAAGCUAGGGGAGCGAACGGG
RNAcentral lists this ribosomal RNA (253 nucleotides) under uncultured bacterium. Its description in RNAcentral is "partial 16S ribosomal RNA". It matches the Rfam family "Bacterial small subunit ribosomal RNA", at positions 524 to 776 of the family's 1533-position model. The record is from RNAcentral.